AGAGAGAUAGCUAAAGAAGAAGUAUUGCAUUUACGAUGUAGUGAUGCCUGUUUAAUCCAGGCUCUCUUUAGA
Molecule: transfer RNA, 72 nt
Filed under: Amphiura sp. CZ-2022
Lineage: Eukaryota; Metazoa; Echinodermata; Ophiuroidea; Amphilepidida; Amphiuridae
Description: tRNA-Val
Rfam family: tRNA
About the family: Transfer RNA (tRNA) molecules are approximately 80 nucleotides in length. Their secondary structure includes four short double-helical elements and three loops (D, anti-codon, and T loops).
Source: RNAcentral